This is a long non-coding RNA of Ictalurus punctatus (channel catfish), 1592 nucleotides long. NCBI's taxonomy places the organism in Eukaryota, Metazoa, Chordata, Actinopteri, Siluriformes, Ictaluridae. The record is from Ensembl.
AAACAGAAUAAAAACUCAUGGAUAUCAGGAGUGAAAGUAAUGGCCCCCCUACAGUGCAGUGCAUUAUAAAGGACGGUACGCUGAUCAGGAUGAACGUGAGUGCCGACUGCGAGGGAAAGUUCUUUGACGAUAAAUUCAUUAGCGAGGCCGCUGGGCGUCGGUGCUUUCGGAGUCCUCGUACCCAUGAGACGACACGUAUACGGUCCCCUUCGAAAAGUAACGGGACGGCAAGGCCAAUUCUUUUCCUCUUGCUAUACACUGAAGACAUUUGAGUUCGAGAUCCAAAGACGAAUGAGACGAUGGAUCGGAAUUUCCGUAUAUUUACCUCAAGAUGCGUUAGACAACUUUAGUCUGAACCCAAAAAAUAUCGGAACACGUGACUGUUUCGUUUUACCCAGGUGAGUCCUGUUAGAUUAACUGCUGAAAGAAGUGGAAGGUUUAAGACUGGCCGAGCCCGUCACCAGACCUUAACCCAACUGGGGAGAACCCAAACCUCCACGCCCCCCAAAAACAAAUAAAUAACUGAAAGAGGUAGUCGUAAAAGCCUGGAAAUGAGUAAACGUCGCUAUGCUUAAUACUGAAUCGUACUGCGACGAAACAUCUGCACGUCUUCACUUUUCCCCCGCACUCGUACCACCUUCAGGUUUAUACUUAAGGGGGAAUUUUAGCAAACGAAAACACCCUGCGGCUUAAAAAUAAACCCCAACGCGACACUACGAUCCUGGGAAAAGUGUAACCGAGGAGAAGCGGGAGAGCAGGACGGCGUCAGCGCUGAACUUUAGAUAAGGUGUGUAACGAUAUGGGUCAGAAGCAGACAAACAACUGAAGCUCUGUUAGACUGUGGACUUUGUCCUCGCGCUGAACUGCAGCGUGCGCGUUUCCGUUUCCUUCACGGGGAUCCUCAGAUCCGUGACGUUCGUGAUCUUCACGCUGUUAUCUGUUGGAUGGACGUGCCACGCCCCACAUCUGGAUGACAUCUUUAAAAAAACAUUUUAAGUGUAAAUAUUGAAAUGAUUUGAUUCUGUAUGUUGUCGCACUUCCUUUCGAUACGGGAAGUCAGACAGGGAGCGCGUCGAAGGGAAGGGCUCGAGAUUAGGGCCGUAUUGUGAUAAAAAGUCACGGUAGAUUCCCCCCCCGAGAUAUCGCUGGUACCGUGCUAUCUUUUAUUUGAAUAAUUACAGACUAGCAUGGACUCCAACCGUCUUUUCAACUCGCACAGGAUCCGAACCACGCGACCGACCCACGGCCGACGCUAGCUAGCCUCUUCUAUACGGAUAAAAGGGCGCUAACGGUGCGGGAACCUUCCAAGCUUUUUACUCUCAUCUUCAACACACAUUUCCCACACAUCCAGGUGAUGAUAAAAUUAGUAUUUUUUACAGUACAAAAGAUAAGCGAGAAGACUAGUACUCAUUUUCCCCCAAGAGUGUACAGCGAUAGAUAACAGGGGCGGGGCGGGGCGUGUCCGUUCGUUCUACACGAGCGUCCGAUUUGAUUGGAUGCAAAAUGCACGACAGCAUUUGUUUCCUCUGUAUACAAUUAACAUAGGAAACUAACAAAAACACCGCCGUCAUAUUUUGGUAUAUCCGAACAAA